AAUCUUAUAAAAUGGGGGCAACCCUGAUCUAGCCAUGCCGCGUGAGGGAUGAAGGCCUUGGGGAUGUACAGCUCUUUCAUCUGAGUCGAGAGAGACGGUUGCAUCAGAAGCAUUCGCUGCUUACUCCGUGCCAGCAGCCGCGGUAAUACGGAGGGGACUGGCGUUGUUCGGAAUUAUUGGGCGUAACGCGAACGUAGGCGGAUCGGAAAGUUGGGGAUGAAAGCCGGGGGCUCAGCCCCGGAACAGAAUUCAAAACUAUAGGUCUGGAGUUCGAGAGGAGUGAGUGGAAUUCCGAGUGUAGAGGUGAAAUUCGUAGAUAUUCGGAGGAACACAAGUGGCGAAGGCGGCUCACUGGCUCGAUACUGACGCUGAGGUGCGAAAGCGUGGGGAGCAAACAG
Molecule: ribosomal RNA, 398 nt
Filed under: uncultured bacterium
Lineage: Bacteria
Description: partial 16S ribosomal RNA
Rfam family: Bacterial small subunit ribosomal RNA
Source: RNAcentral